CAAAACCUACGAGGCGUUUACGAAAUCGGACUUCGAAUUUUUCAGAAAAGGUGAAGUUGGUGACUGGAAGAAUUGGUUCAGUGACGCUCAAAAUAAACUGUUUGAUGACACCUGGAAGAAGGAAACUAAAGACUUAACCUUAUUCAAAUUUAGAUAUGUUUAGAUAUGCGCAAUCAAGUACUUCCUCACAACUAUGUAAAGAAUGUAAACAUUGACAUUUAUAUUAGAGUAAGGGUGUUUCCUUUUGAUGAAAACAAAAAUGUGAUAAACCCAGUUAACUG
Long non-coding RNA from Ruditapes philippinarum (Manila clam), 281 nucleotides. RefSeq lists it as uncharacterized. The record is from RefSeq and is a predicted model, not a curated record. The transcript has 2 exons. NCBI's taxonomy places the organism in Eukaryota, Metazoa, Mollusca, Bivalvia, Venerida, Veneridae.